UACCGGCCCGCSAUUCGCCCUUUGAGUUUGAUCAUGGCUCAGGACGAACGCUGGCGGCGUGCCUAACACAUGCAAGUCGAGCGGAGACAUGUUAAGGAAGUUUUCGGAUGGAAUUGAUAUGUUUUAGCGGCGGACGGGUGAGUAACGCGUGAGCAACCUUUCUCUCAGUGGGGAAUAACACAGCGAAAGUUGUACUAAUACCGCAUGAGACCACGGCCCGGCAUCGGGGAGGGGUCAAAGAUUUAUCGCUGAGAGGUGGGCUCGCGUCCGAUUAGGUAGUUGGUGAGGUAACGGCCCACCAAGCCGACGAUCGGUAGCCGACCUGAGAGGGUGAUCGGCCACAUUGGGACUGAGACACGGCCCAAACUCCUACGGGAGGCAGCAGUGGGGAAUAUUGGGCAAUGGGGGGAACCCUGACCCAGCAACGCCGCGUGGAGGAAGAAGGUUUCGGAUCGUAAACUCCUGUCCUUGGUGAAGAGAAGGAGACGGUAGCCAAGGAGGAAGCCCCGGCUAACUACGUGCCAGCAGCCGCGGUAAUACGUAGGGGGCAAGCGUUGUCCGGAAUGAUUGGGCGUAAAGGGCGCGUAGGCGGCUAUUUAAGUCUGGAGUGAAAKUCCUGCUUUUUAAGGUGGGAAUUGCUUUGGAUACUGGAUAGCUUGAGUGCAGGAGAGGG
RNAcentral lists this ribosomal RNA (673 nucleotides) under uncultured Bacteroidota bacterium. Its description in RNAcentral is "bacterial SSU rRNA". Lineage: Bacteria; Pseudomonadati; Bacteroidota. The record is from RNAcentral.